RNAcentral lists this ribosomal RNA (253 nucleotides) under uncultured bacterium. Its description in RNAcentral is "partial 16S ribosomal RNA". It matches the Rfam family "Bacterial small subunit ribosomal RNA", at positions 524 to 776 of the family's 1533-position model. The record is from RNAcentral.
UACAGGGGGGGCAAGCGUUGUUCGGAAUUACUGGGCGUAAAGGGUCUGUAGGUGGCCAACUAAGUCAGACGUGUAAUCCCUCAGCUUAACUGGGGAACUGCGUCUGAUACUGGAUGGCUCGAGUGUGGGAGAGGAAUGCGGAAUUCCAGGUGUAGCGGUGAAAUGCGUAGAUAUCUGGAGGAACACCGGUGGCGAAGGCGGCAUUCUGGACCAUAACUGACACUGAGAGACGAAAGCCAGGGGAGCAAACGGG